UGAGUUGUAGUUUAAUUGGCAGAACAUCAUUUUUUGGAAGUGGUUAAUAUCAGUUCAAAUCUGAUCAACUCAG
Molecule: transfer RNA, 73 nt
Filed under: Auricularia cornea
Lineage: Eukaryota; Fungi; Basidiomycota; Agaricomycetes; Auriculariales; Auriculariaceae
Also listed under: 1 other name
Description: tRNA-Gln
Rfam family: tRNA
About the family: Transfer RNA (tRNA) molecules are approximately 80 nucleotides in length. Their secondary structure includes four short double-helical elements and three loops (D, anti-codon, and T loops).
Source: RNAcentral